Salvelinus fontinalis (brook trout) is the source of this 1596-nucleotide long non-coding RNA. RefSeq lists it as uncharacterized. The transcript has 2 exons. The record is from RefSeq and is a predicted model, not a curated record. NCBI's taxonomy places the organism in Eukaryota, Metazoa, Chordata, Actinopteri, Salmoniformes, Salmonidae.
UGCGUGAGUUCCAAAUAUUUCUAACGGUCGCCCCAGCGUGAGUUUUUUUAUGCACGUGAUGUUAGAACGUUCUCUCCAUUCCAGAAUGUGAUUGUUAUGUAACAGUACAUUUAACCUGCGCUGCCCUCAAACCAAAGCACGCAGCCUGUUUUAUUUGUCAAUUUUAAAUUAUUUUCUAACAAGUUUUUUAUUUUCUAAUAACAGUUUGAAAUGAUGUGUGUUUCGCCUUAUUCAUUCACAUAAAAGUAGUCAUUUUUACUUUUGCGGACCAAUUAAUUUUUGGGACAUUUCUGACCCGGACAAAAUUCCCCAAACACUUCUCAAUUGUUUGUGCAGGACAUUUACUCAUCUGCCGUCCUGCAUACACGUGUUCAUAUUUUCCACCUGUCGCCUGCAUCGAAAUCAAAGUUGUUUUCGUUACCAAUAAUACCUUUGGUAAUGUGUGCGUUUCUAUCAAAGUGCCUUAAUACGUUAUAAUAGUUUCUGCAUGUCGUGUUAUGUCGUUUCUACUGUAACGUCAUGUUUUUAUGUACAUUCCUUAUAACCGCGGACAGGCGAUGUAACGUUACUCAUUUCAUAACAUUUAUGGUGUUAUACUCAAUGCUUAGGUAUCUAGCUACAUUCUCCUAUUAGCUCUGGAAAACAAUGCUAAUUUCGUCAGGGAAGUAUUAGCAUGUGUUGUAUUUCGAAGCUACCCUAGCCUUAUGACUCCCAAGUGGCACAGCGUCUCAGCGCUAGAAGCGUCACUACAGAGACCCAUCUUCAAAUCAAGACUGCGUUUCUAUCAAAGUGGUCCACCUUCCCUGUGGCCAACAUGGUUGCCAAAUGGACAGUGGAGAGGACUUGGACGUCUCGUUUGUCAUGCCACUUUACUGCCAGCUGUUAACAUUUCUUAUUUUGUAUAACGGGUCAUUUAGGAUGGUAGUAGCGUUGAUGAAAUGCAGUCAUAGCAGCAGAACUAGAAAGCAGUCUUUACUGUCACCAGGAAUGUGUACAUUUCACAAAUUGUGGUUGUCCCCCACUCCUGGCUCUCUCUUCUCCUGUAGCUCCAAGGCAUAGUGAUUGGUCUCUACUAUGUCUCCCACCAGCUCCUCUGUCAGAAACAACUUGAAGCACUCUGCCUCAGUUGGAAAUGGCAAGGGGCGUUGCACUCCAGACUGGGACUCGCCAAAGCAAACAGCAGGGCCAGGAGGGGUGAAAUGACUGGUGGCCUUCCAGCUACCACAGAACUGUACUUCAUCCACUGUCAGUCUGCCACCAUCACCACCAGCAUCUUCAAAGGGACCUGGGACUUCGUCAGUGGACAAGGGAAAUUCAGAUUCAGGGUUCUCAGUGGCUACAAGGUUGGGGGGCAGCUCCUCACUCAGUCAGAAUCUGAUUCCUGACUUUCAUACUCUGACUCAUUGUCAGAAUUUAAAAAAAAAUCUCCAUAAUUUCCACAUUUGUUUGUUGUCUCCUUUUGAAAGAUUGCUAAUGCUUCAGCUUAGCUCACUAGCUACAUACAUAAACAACAACACUGAAUGGUUUACAGUGAGAGGGUACGUGGUUGACUGCCGGCACGCGCCACUUGUAUCAAUAAAUCACUAUCAGAAAAUG